UAGGGAAUUUUGGACAAUGGGCGAAAGCCUGAUCCAGCAAUGCCGCGUGUGUGAAGAAGGCCUUCGGGUUGUAAAGCACUUUUGUCCGGAAAGAAAUCCUUGGCUCUAAUACAGUCGGGGGAUGACGGUACCGGAAGAAUAAGCACCGGCUAACUACGUGCCAGCAGCCGCGGUAAUACGUAGGGUGCAAGCGUUAAUCGGAAUUACUGGGCGUAAAGCGUGCGCAGGCGGUUUGCUAAGACCGAUGUGAAAUCCCCGGGCUCAACCUGGGAACUGCAUUGGUGACUGGCAGGCUAGAGUAUGGCAGAGGGGGGUAGAAUUCCACGUGUAGCAGUGAAAUGCGUAGAGAUGUGGAGAAUACCGAUGGCGAAGGCAGCCCCCUGGGCCAAUACUGACGCUCAUGCACGAAAGCGUGGGGAGCAAAACAGGAUUAGAUACCCUGGUAGUCCACGCCCUAAACGAUGUCAACUAGUUGUUGGGGAUUCAUUUCCUUAGUAACGUAGCUAACGCGUGAAGUUGACCGCCUGGGGAGUACGGUCGCAAGAUUAAAACUCAAAUGAAUUGACGGGGUCAUAGCUG
RNAcentral lists this ribosomal RNA (579 nucleotides) under uncultured bacterium. Its description in RNAcentral is "partial 16S ribosomal RNA". It matches the Rfam family "Bacterial small subunit ribosomal RNA", at positions 355 to 932 of the family's 1533-position model. The record is from RNAcentral.